CACGGGGGGAGCAAGCGUUGUUCGGAAUCACUGGGCGUAAAGGGCGUGUAGGCGGUCAGGUAAGUGGGAUGUGAAAUGCCCCGGCUCACCCGGGGACCGGCAUCCCAUACUGCUUGGCUUGAGUACGGGAGAGGAUGUGGGAAUUCCGAGUGUAGAGGUGAAAUUCGUAGAUAUUCGGAAGAACACCAGUGGCGAAGGCGGCUCACUGGACUGGUAUUGACGCUGAGGUGCGAAAGCGUGGGGAGCAAACAGG
Molecule: ribosomal RNA, 253 nt
Filed under: uncultured bacterium
Lineage: Bacteria
Description: partial 16S ribosomal RNA
Rfam family: Bacterial small subunit ribosomal RNA
Source: RNAcentral